Molecule: long non-coding RNA, 1110 nt
Organism: Schistocerca gregaria
Lineage: Eukaryota; Metazoa; Arthropoda; Insecta; Orthoptera; Acrididae
Exons: 4
Source: RefSeq, a predicted model, not a curated record
AUUUCGCACAGUGCUACUGAUUUCGCACUUUUGCUGUCGCUGGUGGUCAUGGCCGUUGCUUUCUAUCGUCACAGAUUUUUUGUUCAUAUUAUUUCAAAACCGUCUUGCCAAAUAUUACGAAGUUUAAUCUUUUCCUUUUGGCAAGUUACCCGCCCUGUUCUUUCUUCCACGUUGAUUAUCAUUUAUCUGCGAGUGUAGUUGGCUGUUACGGGGAAUUGCUGACUGCGUUUGUGGAAAUUCGUACAUUAACCCCAGCAUUGGUUCGCAAGGCAACUAUCUGGGCAAAAAGGAAACAGACGAGGCAACUACUGAUCCAGGCUCCAUGGAGUGAUUGUAAUUGGAGUCGAAGGCUGAGGGAGGCGGCUUCAUAAACGAUUGCGUGCACUGCUAAAAUCUUCAGCUGGUGCAGACAAGACUGGUUGUUGUCUGCCUGGAGCUGCCAGCACACAGCCAGAUCUAGUCAGUGAUGAGCCCAGUGUUUGUCGCCAUGUUGCGUUUCUUGCAUGUCAUUUCGUAACAUGGCGGCAAACACUGGGCUUCUUACUGACAUGUUGCAAAUCACCAUGCGAGAAGUGUGCAUCUACUAGAUGGAGGUAAGAGACAUGUGAGAAGUUCUCUUACAAUAAGUGUGAAAGUUUCUUUCCUUACCAUUCCCUGCAUCAUGCUUGGGUGACAUUGUGAACUUAAAAAAGUCCUAAAGACAGUACUUGGAGUAGAUAGGGAUUUGGUGUUAAUGGAAAAUGCUGAAGUAAAAUAAUUACAGCUUCUUGGCAGGUUAUUCUUGAUUACUCUGUCACAGUAUUCGUACAUGCAACACAAAGUUACACUCUUCAGUAGUAGUUCACCAGUACAUCUAAUUAGUACCUAUACAUCUAAGAAACCUGUCAGGACUAUAGAAGCAGUUCUUAACUGUUUUCAUUUUUACAACUGCACCCUUUGGUGAUAAUUAAAAAGUUCAUGUGUUUCAGUAGUUAUAGUUAAAUGGUAAUGUGAAAGAUAAUUUAAGAAACUAAAUAGUUUAGUCAGUCACACUAUUUUUUAGGGCUAAUAAAUCUUUGUAGAAAAUGAUUGUAUUGUUUUUUGGGUCUAAUAAAUCUUUGUACAAAAUGA